UGGAUUCAGCGGCGGACGGGUGAGUAAUGCCUAGGAAUCUGCCUGGUAGUGGGGGAUAACGUCCGGAAACGGGCGCUAAUACCGCAUACGUCCUGGGGGAGAAAGUGGGGGAUCUUCGGACCUCACGCUAUCAGAUGAGCCUAGGUCGGAUUAGCUAGUUGGUGGGGUAAAGGCCUACCAAGGCGACGAUCCGUAACUGGUCUGAGAGGAUGAUCAGUCACACUGGAACUGAGACACGGUCCAGACUCCUACGGGAGGCAGCAGUGGGGAAUAUUGGACAAUGGGCGAAAGCCUGAUCCAGCCAUGCCGCGUGUGUGAAGAAGGUCUUCGGAUUGUAAAGCACUUUAAGUUGGGAGGAAGGGCAGUAAGUUAAUACCUUGCUGUUUUGACGUUACCAACAGAAUAAGCACCGGCUAACUUCGUGCCAGCAGCCGCGGUAAUACGAAGGGUGCAAGCGUUAAUCGGAAUUACUGGGCGUAAAGCGCGCGUAGGUGGUUCAGCAAGUUGGAUGUGAAAUCCCCGGGCUCAACCUGGGAACUGCAUCCAAAACUACUGAGCUAGAGUACGGUAGAGGGUGGUGGAAUUUCCUGUGUAGCGGUGAAAUGCGUAGAUAUAGGAAGGAACACCAGUGGCGAANGCGACCACCUGGACUGAUACUGACACUGAGGUGCGAAAGCGUGGGGAGCAAACAGGA
This 694-nucleotide ribosomal RNA is filed under the name Pseudomonas aeruginosa. RNAcentral describes it as "bacterial SSU rRNA". It matches the Rfam family "Bacterial small subunit ribosomal RNA", at positions 87 to 777 of the family's 1533-position model. Lineage: Bacteria; Pseudomonadati; Pseudomonadota; Gammaproteobacteria; Pseudomonadales; Pseudomonadaceae. The record is from RNAcentral.